GGAUGCGUGGGUGAUCUGGCUGAGACAUUUGUCACCUCAUUGAUCGCCAGGGUUGAUAUGGCUGGCUGGCUAGGCGGGUGUCCCCUUCCUCCCUCACCUCUCUAUGUACAUCCCUCCCAAAGCUGUGCACUUGGUGGAAGAGGACAACCAACCCCAAUAGAGGAGGACCAUUCUUUGGUCAAGGGUAUACAGAGUAGCUGUGCUCCCCUGUUAGAACCUCCAAAACAAACAAACAAACAGACAAAACUCAGCAAAAUCAAAGACUCAAGUCCUACUUUCUUAGUAUUUACAUUGAAUAUAAAUGAAUUAA
RNAcentral lists this small nuclear RNA (310 nucleotides) under Sus scrofa (pig). RNAcentral describes it as "7SK RNA (ENSSSCG00070026495.1)". It matches the Rfam family "7SK RNA". Rfam says of the family: 7SK was discovered as an abundant small nuclear RNA in the mid-70s but a possible function has only recently been suggested. Two independent studies have found that 7SK RNA binds the CDK9/cyclin T complex (known as elongation factor P-TEFb). Lineage: Eukaryota; Metazoa; Chordata; Mammalia; Artiodactyla; Suidae. The record is from RNAcentral.